Salvelinus sp. IW2-2015 is the source of this 175-nucleotide non-coding RNA. The record is from RefSeq and is a predicted model, not a curated record. Lineage: Eukaryota; Metazoa; Chordata; Actinopteri; Salmoniformes; Salmonidae.
GGGGGGCCGACGAGCAACACUGUGAUCCCCUGUGUACGCGCUACAUGGAUUUUGUUUGUCAGAACCGAGCCCAGUGCCUUUUCCAGUCUCUGGUGUGUGACGGCACCAAACACUGCGAGGACGGAUCCGAUGAGGACGUGGCCUACGCCGGCUGCUCCACUCACCCUGAGUUUGA